UUAAGCGACUAAGCGUACACGGUGGAUGCCCUGGCAGUCAGAGGCGAUGAAGGACGUGCUAAUCUGCGAUAAGCGUCGGUAAGGUGAUAUGAACCGUUAUAACCGGCGAUUUCCGAAUGGGGAAACCCAGUGUGAUUCGUCACACUAUCAUUAACUGAAUCCAUAGGUUAAUGAGGCGAACCGGGGGAACUGAAACAUCUAAGUACCCCGAGGAAAAGAAAUCAACCGAGAUUCCCCCAGUAGCGGCGAGCGAACGGGGAGCAGCCCAGAGCCUGAAUCAGUGUGUGUGUUAGUGGAAGCGUCUGGAAAGGCGCGCGAUACAGGGUGACAGCCCCGUACACAAAAAUGCACAUGCUGUGAGCUCGAUGAGUAGGGCGGGACACGUGGUAUCCUGUCUGAAUAUGGGGGGACCAUCCUCCAAGGCUAAAUACUCCUGACUGACCGAUAGUGAACCAGUACCGUGAGGGAAAGGCGAAAAGAACCCCGGCGAGGGGAGUGAAAAAGAACCUGAAACCGUGUACGUACAAGCAGUGGGAGCACGCUUAGGCGUGUGACUGCGUACCUUUUGUAUAAUGGGUCAGCGACUUAUAUUCUGUAGCAAGGUUAACCGAAUAGGGGAGCCGAAGGGAAACCGAGUCUUAACUGGGCGUUAAGUUGCAGGGUAUAGACCCGAAACCCGGUGAUCUAGCCAUGGGCAGGUUGAAGGUUGGGUAACACUAACUGGAGGACCGAACCGACUAAUGUUGAAAAAUUAGCGGAUGACUUGUGGCUGGGGGUGAAAGGCCAAUCAAACCGGGAGAUAGCUGGUUCUCCCCGAAAGCUAUUUAGGUAGCGCCUCGUGAAUUCAUCUCCGGGGGUAGAGCACUGUUUCGGCAAGGGGGUCAUCCCGACUUACCAACCCGAUGCAAACUGCGAAUACCGGAGAAUGUUAUCACGGGAGACACACGGCGGGUGCUAACGUCCGUCGUGAAGAGGGAAACAACCCAGACCGCCAGCUAAGGUCCCAAAGUCAUGGUUAAGUGGGAAACGAUGUGGGAAGGCCCAGACAGCCAGGAUGUUGGCUUAGAAGCAGCCAUCAUUUAAAGAAAGCGUAAUAGCUCACUGGUCGAGUCGGCCUGCGCGGAAGAUGUAACGGGGCUAAACCAUGCACCGAAGCUGCGGCAGCGACACUAUGUGUUGUUGGGUAGGGGAGCGUUCUGUAAGCCUGUGAAGGUGUACUGUGAGGUAUGCUGGAGGUAUCAGAAGUGCGAAUGCUGACAUAAGUAACGAUAAAGCGGGUGAAAAGCCCGCUCGCCGGAAGACCAAGGGUUCCUGUCCAACGUUAAUCGGGGCAGGGUGAGUCGACCCCUAAGGCGAGGCCGAAAGGCGUAGUCGAUGGGAAACAGGUUAAUAUUCCUGUACUUGGUGUUACUGCGAAGGGGGGACGGAGAAGGCUAUGUUGGCCGGGCGACGGUUGUCCCGGUUUAAGCGUGUAGGCUGGUUUUCCAGGCAAAUCCGGAAAAUCAAGGCUGAGGCGUGAUGACGAGGCACUACGGUGCUGAAGCAACAAAUGCCCUGCUUCCAGGAAAAGCCUCUAAGCAUCAGGUAACAUCAAAUCGUACCCCAAACCGACACAGGUGGUCAGGUAGAGAAUACCAAGGCGCUUGAGAGAACUCGGGUGAAGGAACUAGGCAAAAUGGUGCCGUAACUUCGGGAGAAGGCACGCUGAUAUGUAGGUGAAGUCCCUCGCGGAUGGAGCUGAAAUCAGUCGAAGAUACCAGCUGGCUGCAACUGUUUAUUAAAAACACAGCACUGUGCAAACACGAAAGUGGACGUAUACGGUGUGACGCCUGCCCGGUGCCGGAAGGUUAAUUGAUGGGGUUAGCGCAAGCGAAGCUCUUGAUCGAAGCCCCGGUAAACGGCGGCCGUAACUAUAACGGUCCUAAGGUAGCGAAAUUCCUUGUCGGGUAAGUUCCGACCUGCACGAAUGGCGUAAUGAUGGCCAGGCUGUCUCCACCCGAGACUCAGUGAAAUUGAACUCGCUGUGAAGAUGCAGUGUACCCGCGGCAAGACGGAAAGACCCCGUGAACCUUUACUAUAGCUUGACACUGAACAUUGAGCCUUGAUGUGUAGGAUAGGUGGGAGGCUUUGAAGUGUGGACGCCAGUCUGCAUGGAGCCGGCCUUGAAAUACCACCCUUUAAUGUUUGAUGUUCUAACGUUGACCCGUGAUCCGGGUUGCGGACAGUGUCUGGUGGGUAGUUUGACUGGGGCGGUCUCCUCCUAAAGAGUAACGGAGGAGCACGAAGGUUGGCUAAUCCUGGUCGGACAUCAGGAGGUUAGUGCAAUGGCAUAAGCCAGCUUGACUGUGAGCGUGACGGCGCGAGCAGGUGCGAAAGCAGGUCAUAGUGAUCCGGUGGUUCUGAAUGGAAGGGCCAUCGCUCAACGGAUAAAAGGUACUCCGGGGAUAACAGGCUGAUACCGCCCAAGAGUUCAUAUCGACGGCGGUGUUUGGCACCUCGAUGUCGGCUCAUCACAUCCUGGGGCUGAAGUAGGUCCCAAGGGUAUGGCUGUUCGCCAUUUAAAGUGGUACGCGAGCUGGGUUUAGAACGUCGUGAGACAGUUCGGUCCCUAUCUGCCGUGGGCGCUGGAGAACUGAGGGGGGCUGCUCCUAGUACGAGAGGACCGGAGUGGACGCAUCACUGGUGUUCGGGUUGUCAUGCCAAUGGCACUGCCCGGUAGCUAAAUGCGGAAGAGAUAAGUGCUGAAAGCAUCUAAGCACGAAACUUGCCCCGAGAUGAGUUCUCCCUGACUCCUUGAGAGUCCUGAAGGAACGUUGAAGACGACGACGUUGAUAGGCCGGGUGUGUAAGCGCAGCGAUGCGUUGAGCUAACCGGUACUAAUGAACCGUGAGGCUUAACCUU
RNAcentral lists this ribosomal RNA (2901 nucleotides) under Escherichia coli. RNAcentral's name for it is "23S ribosomal RNA". It matches the Rfam family "Bacterial large subunit ribosomal RNA". The record is from RNAcentral. Lineage: Bacteria; Pseudomonadati; Pseudomonadota; Gammaproteobacteria; Enterobacterales; Enterobacteriaceae.